GAUCCUGGCUCAGGAUGAACGCUGGCGGCGUGCUUAACACAUGCAAGUCGAACGGAACUCCUGUGUUUGAGGUUUCGGCCAAGAAGACAGGAUGUUUAGUGGCGGACGGGUGAGUAACGCGUGAGUAACCUGCCUUGGAGUGGGGAAUAACACAGUGAAAACUGUGCUAAUACCGCAUAAUGCAUUUGGGUCGCAUGAUUCUGAAUGCCAAAGAUUUAUCG
This 221-nucleotide ribosomal RNA is filed under the name uncultured bacterium. RNAcentral's name for it is "partial 16S ribosomal RNA". It matches the Rfam family "Bacterial small subunit ribosomal RNA", at positions 15 to 217 of the family's 1533-position model. The record is from RNAcentral.